CCCGUUGCAAAGGUAGGGGAUGAGGUGUGAUUAGGAGUGAAAAGCUAAUCGAACCCGGAGAUAGCUGGUUCUCCUCGAAAGCUAUUUAGGUAGCGCCUCAUAUGUAUCCUCUCGGGGGUAGAGCACUGUUAUGGCUAGGGGGUCAUCGCGACUUACCAAACCAUUGCAAACUCCGAAUACCGAGACGGACUGUAUGGGAGACACACGGCGGGUGCUAACGUCCGUCGUGAAAAGGGAAACAACCCAGACCCACAGCUAAGGUCCCAAAUUCACUGCUAAGUGGAAAACCAUGUGGAAAGGCACAGACAGCCAGGAGGUUGGCUUAGAAGCAGCCACCCUUUAAAGAAAGCGUAAUAGCUCACUGGUCGAGUCGGUCUGCGGGGAAGAUUUAACGGGGCUAAGCAGUGAACCGAAGCUUGGGGUGCAUAACUUUGUUAUGCGCGGUAGAGGAGCGUUCCGUAAGCCGUUGAAGGUGGAUUGAGAAGUCUGCUGGAGGUAUCGGAAGUGCGAAUGCUGACAUGAGUAACGAUAAUGCGGGUGAAAAACCCGCACGCCGAAAGCCCAAGGUUUCCUUGCGCAACGUUAAUCGGCGCAGGGUGAGUCGGCCCCUAAGGCGAGGACGAAAGUCGUAGUCGAUGGGAAGCAGGUUAAUAUUCCUGCACCUCGCGUAAGUGCGAUGGAGGGACGGAGAAGGUUAGGUGUACCAGGCGUUGGUUGUCCUGGGGAAAGGCGGUAGGUUUGGAUCUUUGGCAAAUCCGGGAUCCUUUAAGACCGAGCACCGAGACGAGCCUUUAUGGCGAAGUCACUGAUACCACGCUUCCAGGAAAAGCUCCUAAGCUUCAGCUUACGCAGACCGUACCGUAAACCGACACAGGUGGGUAGGAUGAGAAUUCUCAGGCGCUUGAGAGAACUCGGGUGAAGGAACUAGGCAACAUGGCACCGUAACUUCGGGAGAAGGUGCACCCUUUUUGGUGGCUCGUGCGAGCUAUAGCUGAAGAGGGUCGCAGUAACCAGGCCGCUGCGACUGUUUAUCAAAAACACAGCACUCUGCAAACACGAAAGUGGACGUAUAGGGUGUGACGCCUGCCCGGUGCUGGAAGGUUAAUUGAUGGGGUCAGCCGCAAGGCGAAGCUCUUGAUCGAAGCCCCAGUAAACGGCGGCCGUAACUAUAACGGUCCUAAGGUAGCGAAAUUCCUUGUCGGGUAAGUUCCGACCUGCACGAAUGGCGUAACGACAGCGGCGCUGUCUCCACCCGAGACUCAGUGAAAUUGAAAUCGCUGUGAAGAUGCAGCGUUCCCGUGGCAAGACGGAAAGACCCCGUGAACCUUUACUAUAGCUUUACACUGAACGUUGAGUUCGUCUGUGUAGGAUAGGUGGGAGGCUAUGAAACCAUGGCGCUAGCUGUGGCGGAGCCAUCCUUGAAAUACCACCCUGUCGUGCUUGACGUUCUAACCUGGGCCCAUUAUCUGGGUCGGGGACCGUGUAUGGUGGGUAGUUUGACUGGGGCGGUCUCCUCCUAAAGAGUAACGGAGGAGCUCGAAGGUACGCUCAGCGCGGUCGGACAUCGCGCACUGUGUGCAAAGGCAUAAGCGUGCUUGACUGCAAGAUCGACGGAUCAAGCAGGUAGGAAACUAGGACUUAGUGAUCCGGUGGUUCUGUAUGGAAGGGCCAUCGCUCAACGGAUAAAAGGUACUCCGGGGAUAACAGGCUGAUACCGCCCAAGAGUUCAUAUCGACGGCGGUGUUUGGCACCUCGAUGUCGGCUCAUCACAUCCUGGGGCUGUAGUCGGUCCCAAGGGUAUGGCUGUUCGCCAUUUAAAGUGGUACGCGAGCUGGGUUCAGAACGUCGUGAGACAGUUCGGUCCCUAUCUGCCAUGGGCGUUGGAGAUUUGAGAGGGGCUGCUCCUAGUACGAGAGGACCGGAGUGGACGAACCUCUGGUGUUCCGGUUGUCACGCCAGUGGCAUUGCCGGGUAGCUAUGUUCGGAAGCGAUAACCGCUGAAAGCAUCUAAGCGGGAAGCGCGCCUCAAGAUGAGAUCUCCCGGGGCACAAGCCCCCUGAAGGAACCAUGUAGACUACGUGGUUGAUAGGUCAGGUGUGUAAGUACAGCAAUGUAUUGAGCUAACUGAUACUAAUGAUCCGUGCGGCUUGACCAUAUAACCUCA
RNAcentral lists this ribosomal RNA (2164 nucleotides) under Stenotrophomonas maltophilia. Its description in RNAcentral is "bacterial LSU rRNA". It matches the Rfam family "Bacterial large subunit ribosomal RNA", at positions 785 to 2925 of the family's 2925-position model. Lineage: Bacteria; Pseudomonadati; Pseudomonadota; Gammaproteobacteria; Lysobacterales; Lysobacteraceae. The record is from RNAcentral.